Long non-coding RNA from Galeopterus variegatus (Sunda flying lemur), 983 nucleotides. RefSeq lists it as uncharacterized. Lineage: Eukaryota; Metazoa; Chordata; Mammalia; Dermoptera; Cynocephalidae. The transcript is spliced from 2 exons. The record is from RefSeq and is a predicted model, not a curated record.
CAGUAUAUACCCGUGAAAUGAAGAGUCACUCAGUCUUCCUGGGGAAGAGACAUACUGUACCAUCUAUCUACGGCCCUUCUGGUUGUGGAAAUUGAUGGGAAGGCCCUGCUACUACUCACGACUGAUGUGAUGAUGAAUUAUAUGGGGCUGAAGCUGGGGACAGCCAUGAAGCUAUGCCACUACAUUGAAAGAGUUAAAGAAGAAAUAUUCUACUUCAAUUGAAAAAAAUGUGCGAUUUAAGAUUGGGCUUACUUCUAGGGGGACCAGUGCCUUCUUGGUGUAAGAUCAUUUUUCUGCCCUUACUAGUUUUUGUUUUGUGAAAGUAUCAUCUAAAAAUGUUAUGACAAGAAUUGCAGAACUAUAUUACAGUUCAGUCUAGUUCUUUAAAAUCCAUUUAACAUGUUAGUGUUUGCAUAUUUAAGUUGGAAGUUCAUCCUUUAUGUCUGCUUAUUAUUUUCAUUGUAUAGUCUACAAAUAUACUUCAUGCAGGAAAUAGUGAAAAAACUUUGGCUUUGGUUCAGUUUUACAUCUGGAACCAAAACAACUAAAAGAGGAAAUAUCAGGGAUUGACAACUUCUAUAAUUAAGUCCAUGAGAAUUUUUCCUCAGAAGAGAAUUUAAAGAUGCACGUGUAGAUAUCAUCUCCCUCUCAUGUGUUUUAUCUGUCUGAUGCUGCAGUGUCCUGUUCAUGUUCUACCAUUUGUUGUAAAUGCCAAUAAAAUGCUCACCUGGGGCAAGAAUGUUCAUUUUCUUUUUAGAAAGACAAACGUGCCUUAGACAUGAAUGCAGCUAUUGAAAGGAUGGCUUCACCUGUGUUAUUCCUUAUAUGUUAGAAGUCGAGAUUCUUACUUAAACUUAGUCUUGUUUCACAUUGUUUGUAGGAAGGUGCUGUGUCCAACUGAACAGUCCUCAGGUGUUAGUAUAAAUACUGUUUUUCUGUUUUCUGAUUUUAAAAUAUAAUAAAGUUAAAUAACUGCAAUGAUU